GCACUGAUGAUGAGACCUGACCAGGUCGAAACAGCUGUCCAGUGC
Molecule: non-coding RNA, 45 nt
Organism: Echinostoma caproni
Lineage: Eukaryota; Metazoa; Platyhelminthes; Trematoda; Plagiorchiida; Echinostomatidae
Source: Rfam